RNAcentral lists this ribosomal RNA (205 nucleotides) under uncultured bacterium. RNAcentral describes it as "partial 16S ribosomal RNA". It matches the Rfam family "Bacterial small subunit ribosomal RNA", at positions 328 to 538 of the family's 1533-position model. The record is from RNAcentral.
ACGCUCGACACCUACGGGAGCAGCAGUGGGGAAUAUUGGGCAAUGGGCGAAAGCCUGACCCAGCAACGCCGCGUGAGGGAAGAAGGUUUUUCGGAUUGUAAACCUCUGUCCUCAGGGACGAAGGACGUGACGGUACCUGAGGAGGAAGCCCCCGGCUAACUACGUGCCAGCAGCCGCGGUAAUCUGAGGCGGGCUGGACGAAGGC